AGACCCGAAACCCGGUGAUCUAGCCAUGGGCAGGUUGAAGGUUGGGUAACACUAACUGGAGGACCGAACCGACUAAUGUUGAAAAAUUAGCGGAUGACCUGUGGCUGGGGGUGAAAGGCCAAUCAAACCGGGAGAUAGCUGGUUCUCCCCGAAAGCUAUUUAGGUAGCGCCUCGUGAAUUCAUCUCCGGGGGUAGAGCACUGUUUCGGCUAGGGGGCCAUCCCGGCUUACCAACCCGAUGCAAACUGCGAAUACCGGAGAAUGUUAUCACGGGAGACACACGGCGGGUGCUAACGUCCGUCGUGAAGAGGGAAACAACCCAGACCGCCAGCUAAGGUCCCAAAGUCAUGGUUAAGUGGGAAACGAUGUGGGAAGGCCCAGACAGCCAGGAUGUUGGCUUAGAAGCAGCCAUCAUUUAAAGAAAGCGUAAUAGCUCACUGGUCGAGUCGGCCUGCGCGGAAGAUGUAACGGGGCUAAACCAUGCACCGAAGCUGCGGCAGCGACACUGUGUGUUGUUGGGUAGGGGAGCGUUCUGUAAGCCUGCGAAGGUGGCCUGUGAGGGUUGCUGGAGGUAUCAGAAGUGCGAAUGCUGACAUAAGUAACGAUAAAGCGGGUGAAAAGCCCGCUCGCCGGAAGACCAAGGGUUCCUGUCCAACGUUAAUCGGGGCAGGGUGAGUCGACCCCUAAGGCGAGGCCGAAAGGCGUAGUCGAUGGGAAACGGGUUAAUAUUCCCGUACUUGGUGUUACUGCGAAGGGGGGACGGAGAAGGCUAUGUUGGCCGGGCGACGGUUGUCCCGGUUUAAGCGUGUAGGUGUGUGUUCCAGGUAAAUCCGGUUCACUUUAACACUGAGGCGUGACGACGAGGCACUACGGUGCUGAAGCAACAAAUGCCCUGCUUCCAGGAAAAGCCUCUAAGCAUCAGGUAACAUCAAAUCGUACCCCAAACCGACACAGGUGGUCAGGUAGAGAAUACCAAGGCGCUUGAGAGAACUCGGGUGAAGGAACUAGGCAAAAUGGUGCCGUAACUUCGGGAGAAGGCACGCUGACACGUAGGUGAAGUGAUUUACUCAUGGAGCUGAAGUCAGUCGAAGAUACCAGCUGGCUGCAACUGUUUAUUAAAAACACAGCACUGUGCAAACACGAAAGUGGACGUAUACGGUGUGACGCCUGCCCGGUGCCGGAAGGUUAAUUGAUGGGGUCAGCGCAAGCGAAGCUCCUGAUCGAAGCCCCGGUAAACGGCGGCCGUAACUAUAACGGUCCUAAGGUAGCGAAAUUCCUUGUCGGGUAAGUUCCGACCUGCACGAAUGGCGUAAUGAUGGCCAGGCUGUCUCCACCCGAGACUCAGUGAAAUUGAACUCGCUGUGAAGAUGCAGUGUACCCGCGGCAAGACGGAAAGACCCCGUGAACCUUUACUAUAGCUUGACACUGAACAUUGAGCCUUGAUGUGUAGGAUAGGUGGGAGGCUUUGAAGUGUGGACGCCAGUCUGCAUGGAGCCGACCUUGAAAUACCACCCUUUAAUGUUUGAUGUUCUAACGUGGACCCGUUACCCGGGUUGCGGACAGUGUCUGGUGGGUAGUUUGACUGGGGCGGUCUCCUCCUAAAGAGUAACGGAGGAGCACGAAGGUUGGCUAAUCCUGGUCGGACAUCAGGAGGUUAGUGCAAUGGCAUAAGCCAGCUUGACUGCGAGCGUGACGGCGCGAGCAGGUGCGAAAGCAGGUCAUAGUGAUCCGGUGGUUCUGAAUGGAAGGGCCAUCGCUCAACGGAUAAAAGGUACUCCGGGGAUAACAGGCUGAUACCGCCCAAGAGUUCAUAUCGACGGCGGUGUUUGGCACCUCGAUGUCGGCUCAUCACAUCCUGGGGCUGAAGUAGGUCCCAAGGGUAUGGCUGUUCGCCAUUUAAAGUGGUACGCGAGCUGGGUUUAGAACGUCGUGAGACAGUUCGGUCCCUAUCUGCCGUGGGCGCUGGAGAACUGAGGGGGGCUGCUCCUAGUACGAGAGGACCGGAGUGGACGCAUCACUGGUGUUCGGGUUGUCAUGCCAAUGGCACUGCCCGGUAGCUAAAUGCGGAAGAGAUAAGUGCUGAAAGCAUCUAAGCACGAAACUUGCCCCGAGAUGAGUUCUCCCUGAGACUUAGAGUCUCCUGAAGGAACGUUGAAGACGACGACGUUGAU
RNAcentral lists this ribosomal RNA (2170 nucleotides) under Salmonella enterica subsp. enterica serovar Enteritidis. RNAcentral describes it as "partial 23S ribosomal RNA". It matches the Rfam family "Bacterial large subunit ribosomal RNA", at positions 711 to 2857 of the family's 2925-position model. Lineage: Bacteria; Pseudomonadati; Pseudomonadota; Gammaproteobacteria; Enterobacterales; Enterobacteriaceae. The record is from RNAcentral.